RNAcentral lists this long non-coding RNA (3079 nucleotides) under Homo sapiens (human). Its description in RNAcentral is "HSALNT0406012". Lineage: Eukaryota; Metazoa; Chordata; Mammalia; Primates; Hominidae. The record is from RNAcentral.
GGGGGACAGAGGGAGGAGGUGGCUCUGCUGGAAUUCCAGCACCAUGGAACCAGGAGGAGCAAUUCUGGCAGCAGCUGGAGCCCUCAGGGUGUAGACUUGGCCAGAGCCGUGCCCAAGGCGGACAGAGAGGGGGGCAGAAUCCCCUGGCAUUGGCUUUCCUCCUGCCCUCCAGGCUCUUCCCAGCUGGGAGCCAACUGAUGCAGGAACCAAAACAAGGCCUGUGUGGCCUUGGAGAAGACACUUGCUUUGAGCCUCAGUUUCCUUUCCUGUUAAAGGGACCCAUCAGUCCGGCCUUGCAGGUCUGUGGUUAAGGCAGGGCUGUUUCUCUGCCUGGCACUGGGCCCCAGCUCAGCCCUCUUAAUCUGCAGAACUUGCCAUUACUCCCCUGCCCUUCUGGGCUCCCUGUGUCCAAGGGGCCCUGAGGACUCAGAAAUGAGUCAGACCCUGGCCUCUAGGUUCUCCACUCACUUGGGCCAGGCUGUGGUUGCAGACUGUGCGGUGCUCUCACAGAAAGCAGGCGGGUGGGUACCUUUCACUCCAAAAGGAGCGGAGAGCACAGGGUGAGGUGGGGGCUGGAGCUUCAGAAAGGAGGCUGCAUCUGGAAGGCCAGGGAGGACCUCUUGAGGGCUCUGAAUGUCAACCUGCAUUGCAUGAACUUGAUCCUCAAGGGGAGGUGGGGGACAGGCCUGGCAGGUGUGCAUUGGGAAAGCCCUGUUAAGAGCCAGUGCAUGUCAAGCGCCUUGGAACUGUGCAUCGGGGAUGGUGGCCUGGAGGGGACGAGCUGGAGGCAGGAAGACUAGGGAGGAGGGUCUUUCUAGAGGAGCUCCAAGACUCCCCUUGGACAUGCUUUCUGGGACUGCUAGAGUGAUUCCUUCUUUCCUGUCACGAAACACCUCUCCCUGUCCUUGAGCCGGGAUUCUGAAAAGGUCUCUGGUUCCUGGGCCAGCCCCACCCUGCCCUGCCUUGAGGCCACAUCUGCCACACCCUCAGCCUGGCCUAAGGUGCUAGUUACUUGUUGCUAUCUCUGGGGACCUUCUUGCCAAGACUGUGCCGUGGAGGGGGUGGGGAGGGGAGGAGCUGAGAAGAGGGGGAUGGGCAGGCCAGAGGUUGUGCCCGGUGCACGUGGGAUGGAGUAUAGGGUGAUGCUGUGCUGGGCUGUGUGUGUAUGUCGGGGGCGUUUGUCUUGGAGGGGCAUGUAGAAGGGAUUCCAGUGGUUCACUGGGGGCUUCGCCCACCACUUUUUAAUUUUUAUUUUUAUAUAUUUUUUGAUACUAAGUCUUGCUCUGUCUCCCAGUCUGGAGUGCAGUGGUGCGAUAUCGGCUCACUGCAACCUCCGCCUCUCAGGUUCAAGCAAUUCUCUUGCCUCAGUCUCCCGAGUAGCUGGGAUUAUGGGCGCCCGCCACCACACCUGGCUAAUUUUUUGAUUUUUAGUAGAGAUGGGGUUUCGUCAUGUUGUCCAGGCUGGUCUCCAACUCCUGAGCUCAGGCAAUCUGCCCGCCUCGGCCUCCCAAAGUGCUGGGAUUACAGGAGUGAGCCACUGCGCCCGGCCACGCCCCCGCUCUUAGUUCUCCCUUCCAACCUUUUCAUCCAUCAAAGGUUACACUGGGACCCUGCGUCUGUGAGGUGGGGAGAUAUCUGAAGCUAGACUGGGGAUCCCCUCCCAAACGGGAUCCUGGGGACUGGCAGACAGCUCAGCUGCCCCCCACUCUCCAUCAUCCCCAGGGCUCCACCGCAGCCCUGCUCCUCUGUCCUGUGUCCAGCCACCCUGGAAGAGAUGGGGGUGGAGUGCAAGGGACUUCAGUGCAGGGAGGGGCUGCAGGGAGGAGGAGGCGAGGUGGGUUUGAGGCCAGAAGACGGAGGGAGAUGGGGAAGAAGAGGGGCACCCAGAGCAGCCGACAGCAAACCUAGUGAGCAGUGACAAUCAAAACAGGGGCGGUUCACUGAAACUUCUGUGUGUCUGCUGGCUUCACACACUUUAUCUGGCUUAAUCUUCACUAGUAUUAUUCUUAAAUUUUAGUUUUGUAAAUGUUUGUAUUUUAUUUUGUUUAUUAGCUGGAAUUGCUAAUGCAUUUACACAUUUGAAUAUUUAAGAGGUGUGUGCAAUACUGAGUCUCCAUCUCCCCCGGCUCAUUCCCCAGGGACCAGGCUCCCUCCCUGGAGGCAGCCAGCUUCGCCAGCGACUUCCCUCCUCUUCCAGGCUGUCUGCGCAGACAAGCAAACAUAUGCAUAGAAAAGCAAAUAUAUACACAUACAUUUCCCACUUUUUAACCCAUUAAAGGCUGGCAUUCCAUCACCCGAGUCUUCUGACUUCUUUUUCCACUUGCCUACUUACUAAGGCUCGGAGAGGUUAAGACAAUCGUCUAGAGUCACACAGCGGGGGUGGAAAGAUGGGCGGCGACCUCAGUCAACCGGUGGAGUGGGAUGGAGGGGACAGGAUCGGUUUCCGGGCAGGAGCUGUGUUGCAGCGGUGCCUGUUGCAUGUGGAAGUCUCCCUUCAAGGUUUGCAUCAUGGAACUCACCUGGCCCAACCUCUCAGGGAGGAAAAUUCCAACCAGAGAGGGCCGCUCCUGUACUCUGGGAUGCCUUCUCCUGUCUGCCUGCCCAAAUCCUCGCUGACCUUCAAGUUCCAGCGUCGGGAAGUGCCUGGCCGCAUUUCUUAAAGGUUUUACAAGGAUAGACAUCAUUUCCUCCAAAAGAACACAGAGGGAAUGUUGAGCGCUCCCUUUCCCUACUUCUCCUUCUCAUGAUUAAGCAGGCAUUGUGGCUGUUGAGAUUAAAGCCCCAUGCGGAGAUGCAGGGCACCAGGCUAGAUGGAGCCCAGGUCCCCAGGCAGCGGUGUGGAGAAGACUCAUCAUGUUCACCUGGCCCACCUAUCCAUUUGGACUUUUCAAUAAGAAAUAAAUCAGUUUUGAGAAUGUUUCGGUUGCUGUUAUUCUGAGUCUCUUUAAGCAGCUAAAUCUGAGAUAUACCUAAUACAGCAUCCUCAUCUGUGAAAUGUGAACCAUAACCCUUGCCUCACAGGGCAGCUGUCAGGAAGGAAAGAGCUACACUUUGUCAAACACCCAGCAAGAAUCCAACA